GACGAACGCUGGCGGCGUGCUUAACACAUGCAAGUCGAACGAAGAGCGAUGGAAGCUUGCUUCUAUCAAUCUUAGUGGCGCACGGGUGAGUAACGCGUAAUCAACCUGCCCUUCAGAGGGGGACAACAGUUGGAAACGACUGCUAAUACCGCAUACGAUCUGACCUCGGCAUCGAGGAUAGAUGAAAGGUGGCCUCUACAUGUAAGCUAUCACUGAAGGAGGGGAUUGCGUCUGAUUAGCUAGUUGGAGGGGUAACGGCCCACCAAGGCGAUGAUCAGUAGCCGGUCUGAGAGGAUGAACAGCCACAUUGGGACUGAGACACGGCCCAGACUCCUACGGGAGGCAGCAGUGGGGAAUCUUCCGCAAUGGACGAAAGUCUGACGGAGCAACGCCGCGUGAGUGAUGACGGCCUUCGGGUUGUAAAGCUCUGUUAAUCGGGACGAAAGGCCUUUUUGCGAAUAGUGAGAAGGAUUGACGGUACCGGAAUAGAAAGCCACGGCUAACUACGUG
RNAcentral lists this ribosomal RNA (510 nucleotides) under uncultured bacterium. Its description in RNAcentral is "partial 16S ribosomal RNA". It matches the Rfam family "Bacterial small subunit ribosomal RNA", at positions 28 to 507 of the family's 1533-position model. The record is from RNAcentral.